CACAAUCAACACGCCACUCAGACAAUGCCCAGACCUCCAGAAAUCCUGUGUCCGGCUUGGACUGCCCACAAGUGCAAUUUUCAAAACGGUUUCCACCUUCUUUUCCCCAUAUUGUCACACUAGGAGUUCUUCUGACUUCUGACUCCUUGCUUCAAAACAAGCUAUCCAGCCGGUGCUCCUAGGGGACCUGGGCCUCAGAGGCCAUCAAUCCCUGUUUCAAAUUUUCUCACAGUCUUUCUGGCUUCAACUUCUUGUAUUUCUUUCCUGUUAGCAAACAUUGGUUGAGCACCUGUUAUGGAUUAGGCACUGAGCUACAGGUAAGGGUUGGUUAAAGGAUAAAACACAUUCCUUGCCUUUAGGGGCUCACAGUCUAGUGGAAGAGACAGGUACCAGGCAACCACAAGAUACGAAGUAAUGGCUCUAAGACAGGUGCUGCCUUCAGUGUGUCAGAUAAGGACUCCCUUCACACUUGGCUGUCAUCUAUCAGACACAGCUGUCCUGUACAGAAGAGCUGGCUUUGGCUUUAAAGGCUGCUUCCUGGCUGGGCUGCUCCACCACUCCAUGAAGGAUGCCAUUUGGGAUCACAUGUGCUGCGGGCGCUGUUGAUGAAAACGCUAACGGAGCUGGACGGGACUGACAUCUGAGAGAAGGACGAGACCUAGUGUGCUCAUGCAGCUGUGUCCAAGUGCUGUUCUUACCUCCCAAUAGAAAGCCUAGUGAAAAAGGAACUACGUAUUUGUUGGCAGCCCUGAAAGGAUCACAUGUUUCGUCUAGUGGAGGGCAGUGCCCUCCAGGAAAGGGUGGCAUGCUGGAGAGCCAAAGAACAGACGUCCACUACAAGUAAUAUGAGCACCAGGUCUGGAUGAGACCCAUCUUUCCUGAGACUGGAGCCAAGUCACUUAACCUGAGCCCUAGUGUCUUCAGCUAUGACAAGGCUUGCUCCACUCCUGGGCUCUGUGUGAUCUCACAACAGAGGAGAGCUUUCCCGUGUGGCAUCCAGGACCUGCACCAUGCAGCCGAGGCAUGGCCUCUGACACCAAGAACAUCUGGUUUUCAAAGACAUGUCAUACAGCCGAGACUCAGGGUCUGUGGAAUGUAAUUGCUGAGGAGACUUAAAAGAAGCCCUGGUCUACUGGGACAAAUGCCAGCUUUAUCCUUUCGUCUGGCUGUGGAAAACCCCAGAGUUCAUCUAGGAAUAUCUUGGUUUGGGAUGAUAAUUAGAUCACUGCCAUUGUCAUGCUUCUAGUGCAGAACCCUCCCUCCAAUAUUGUUUCUUUCUCACAGGGCUCUCAGGAGGCCUUCAUCCUGUUAAUGCUUCCCUUACUGACUUCAGACCUGAGACACAAGAAGGCCUAAAAGGUUGAGUGGCACCCAACCUUCACAGAGCACCCUCUGCAAUACCAUUUCAGGGAGCUUAUUCAAGGGACACACCAUAGUCAAGGAUGGUCCUGUUAGGCCCUACAAUUCCUCUCUUGACUUUGUUUCCUAAAGUAGAUUACAGACUCCUGCAGGUGGGCAUCCACGGUGAUCCUUCAUGCAUUUCAAGGGCAGGCCUUCUCUGAGGAAAAGUGCACUCUGGGACAAUUCAUAAUUUGAAUUUAGGGCAGGGAGCUGUUUGUUCUUCCUUGGAGAUAGUGAUGAUGUGAACUAUGAUUAUUCCUCGUUGAUCUAAUGAAUAUAAUUUAUAUCCUUCUACUUUUCUCAAUAGACUGCCUUACAAAGUUUGGUUCAUAUAGUACAUUAAACUACCACCCUGGUACCCGGUGUAUUCCCACAAUAUGUUACUGUAAUCUUUAUGGGAUACUCAUCUUUUUUUUUUGCCAUUUUAUUAUGAAACUAAUUGUGGUUUCCUUAAUUAACAGCUAUUGGUUUUAAAUACUGGGUGGGUUCAGGACACACUAUCCCAAAAUGUGACCUAUGGCAUACUGAAUUUGAGAAAUGGCGUAAGUAGGAAGUACUCUCUGACCUUCCCGUGAAGCAGGCCACAAAAACCUAGGUGAGGAGUGCCCUCCCUGUACCUGGAGGAAAGGUACAGCCUUAUCUCCAAGACGCUGAGAAGAAUCCAAAUGAACAGCCUUUGUUAUUUCCCCCAAUUUUCCACAGAAGUUCACACCCCUUUUUGUCCUUUCACAUUUUCCCACAACUUUCCACUCUUCAUCAAACUUAGCAUAAAUGCACUCAGGAUUAGCAUCUUCAGGUCUUCAUUUCCUUAUGAAGGCUCCCAUGUCACAUGAAACUUACAAUAAAUAAAUGUACAAAGUUUUCUUUAGUGAAUGAAUCCUUUGCUACAGGGGUUCCAACAGAGAGCUUAGAAAAGUACAAGAAAAAGCAUUUUUCCUCCCUAUGUCAGCAAAGUAGUAACCAGGUAAUAAGUUGUCAACAUUUGCCGAGAAAGUGGAAAUUUCUAGAAGGUGAAAAUAGUCCCCCUGUGUCAGUAUUAACUGUCAAGGAGAGAAAGAUUAUUAGUAGCGGGGGAAUGAUACCACUCUCAGAAGUGACCUUUCCCAUCUCUGAAGUGUCCUAGCAUUUGCUAUUAUGCAUUAGAAUUGUUCCCACGUGUUUUCUUCGUGAUCAAUACACAUGGAUGAUUUUGUACACCAUAGCUAGAACAUUUUUAAUAAUCAUUGAGUAAUAACUAAGCUUGGUUGAAGUCUUGUAUCAUCAAAUCACCAAACACAAUAGCCACAUCUUCCAUAGUUUUGUUAGGUUUAAUGUUUCUGUAGUCAAUUUUUAAAGAUGUAUUUUUUUAAAAAACAGGGAAAACUUUUCUAGUUACAUUAGUCUAUGGACUAUCAUGGGUCUCUAAAUUCAAAGAACUGUGUGUUAGAAAAUGUUCCCCUCCACAUUCCCACAUUCAUGGGUAAUUGCUUGCUAAUUUUUAACAUAGUAAAAUAAACCAAGGAAAACAUUUUUGGAGUGUAUGUUGUUUCUUUUUUUAGAUAUAAUUGACAUAUAGCAUUAUAUUAGUUUUUGGUGUACAACAUGACUCUACAUGUGUAGGUACUUGCCUUUUCGCUGACUUCUACUUCAAACUGGUGAAGCAUAAAUGUACUUUGGAAAACUUUUUUAAACUAGACAAUAAACUCAUUUAUUUAUUCAACCAACACAAUCAACUAUACUCAUUGUUGGAUUAUAUUUAGCACUAAUAUACUCAUAGAAAUAGGCUAGAACAACCCAGAUCUAAAUAUUCUUUGGUAUAAUAGAUAUCUGAAGCAUAUUACAAGAAAGAGAGCUGGUAUUGGAAUCCAGGCCUACUUCUACCAGUUCCUGAAAGUGAAGUUCUGGGUAAAACAUCUAAUGUUUCUCAGUCAUAGACUCUCUGAAAAAAGGAAGAGUGUAGAAAUGAGGCAUAACAGCAUCAUGAUUAAAAUCUAAGCUUUGCAGUAGGACAGGAUGAUUCAAUCCAAUUAUAUUCUGCUGCUUACUAGCUGAGUACCUUUGAGAUCAGGAAGGCAAUGGCAGGGUGACACAGAAAGAAAGUCUGAGCUAGCUCGACCAGCUGGACCUGGGAACGCUGGGCUGAGCUGGCAGAGGGGCUUGAAACUGACAGACAAGUUGGGGAACACACCAGGAGGAACUAGGCCAAGCCCUGAUGGCUCCCAGUUUUACUGGGAAUAAACCUCUGACUUCAUUAGAAUCUCAUGCACUUCGUAAAAAUCAUGCCCAUCAGCACCAUGACAGUUUACAGUUGUCAUGACAACCCCUGGAAGAGACCUAAUAAGGGAAAGACCCCAUCUUCUAAGAAUCAUCUGGGAGAUUCUGCCCCCUGUUUUCCAUACCUUUUAUACUUCCUAUAAAGGAGCUAGCUAAGGGGGUUGGGGAGAUGUACUCUGCCUAUGAAGUAGUCAACUUCACUUUGCUAUAUAAUCUGCAUUUUUCCUCUUAAUAAAUCUGCCUAAUACUGUACCUGGAGCAUGUUUGAUUUACAUCCUGAGCAUAGCCAAGAACCCUCUACUGCCAUGGAGGCCCAAGCUCUAGGGCCUCCCACAUUCUCCUGUAAUACCCUUGGACAAAUCUUCCUAUUUAGUAAUACCAUUACUAAAUCUUCCUAUUUCUUAGUUUCCUUAUCUGUGAAAAUAGGAAUAAUACUGCUUUACCUCACUAAGUAGUCUUAUAGGAAUUAAAUAAAAGGAUAUCUAUAGUGCUUAGUUCAGUAUCUGGCUCAUAACAGUAUUCAAUAAACUGUGGUUUUAAACAAGAAAUCCUGAAAGACCUUUUGGGAUCAUGAGGUAUAAACCACUUCAUUUUUCAAAUUAGAAAUGGAGGCUCAGAAGUUAAGGAUCUUUCCCAAGUCCUCUGAACUCACAGGUUUGUGAUCUGUAUACUUCCUAAACUUUUAUUAGUUCUAUGAUGGAGACAGAGUGCUAUCUCUUUAUGACCUAUCUCCCAUU
Molecule: long non-coding RNA, 4391 nt
Organism: Manis pentadactyla (Chinese pangolin)
Lineage: Eukaryota; Metazoa; Chordata; Mammalia; Pholidota; Manidae
Exons: 5
Source: RefSeq, a predicted model, not a curated record